RNAcentral lists this long non-coding RNA (1347 nucleotides) under Glycine max (soybean). Its description in RNAcentral is "long non-coding RNA (GMAX_LNC004433)". The record is from RNAcentral. Lineage: Eukaryota; Viridiplantae; Streptophyta; Magnoliopsida; Fabales; Fabaceae.
AAUCACAAUGGCAGAAACUGAACAAGAUUGUUUAUAAAUAUAUAUAUAACUCAACAAGAUUAAAAAUCAUGUGCCAUGUGCCUUAUUCCAAAUCUUAACUUAUGAACCGACGUUCAUGAUAAGAAAAGAUCGAGUGACAAGUGGGUGAAGCAAGCUUACAAUUAUGCAAUUUGCAAAAUAUUAUCAUAUGACUAUAGAAUGACAAUGAACUGCAGAGAUUAUUCAUAGGGUAAAAUGUAAUUUACGCUACUCAAGAUUUAAUUAGCGUAAAAAAAUGUUUUAAUCCCUAUCUUUUUAAAAAUAAUUAUUUUGAUUAUAUUUUUAAAAUGUGAUGGAUCUCAUUCGCAUGUGUGUGUUUAGAAAGCAAUUGAAUCCAAUAUUAAUGAGCUUUCAGAUAAAAAUUACAAUAUAAUUUUUACAUUAUAAAGAACUCAAUUUCUCGUUUCAACGUGAUUUUAACACUGAUUCAAACAUAAUAUUUCAUCUUAACUUGAUCAAGAGCGAAAUUCACUAUAUUUUUAAAAACAUGAUGAUUAAAAUCACCAUUUUUAAAAUAUAAAAGACUGGAACUAAUUUUGACCAAAAACUUAAAAUACAUUUUAUCCUUCUAUGGCCAAAGGAGAAGGUUACAAAGAAAAGAUAUAUCUUCAUGCAAGAUAAGGAGGGAUAUGAAUAUGGUCGUUUGAAGGACCAUCACUGAAGUUAAGACAAUAACUGAGAAAAUCAUAGCUGUAUUGUGGACCUCUCUUGCGCCAUCCCAUGGUUUGCUUCCAGCCACGCUUCAACUUGCAAACUAGCUGUCUCAGAACGCUUGAUGAAGAAGGGCCAUAGCCAAGUAACCUCUUUCUUGGAACAUUACCAAGUGUCACUAAAGGGCUAACUCUCAUUUUUGCUAUGAAUAGAAGCUUCAAGAACUGGGUGAUUUGAGAUAUAUAAAACUAUAUGGUGUUUUCAUUCUGUUGUGCUAGCUAGCUAUCUUGACACUUAAGGUCAAGUGAGAUGUGAGAUGUGAGAUGUGAGAGUGUUGCUAUAACAAAAUAAUGCAUCGUGAGGAAUUGGACUGGAUGAAAGCUUGUUAUCAAUUGUACACCGCACAAGGAAGGAACCAAGUAUAGGAUGUCAAUUUUUGAUUUGUUGGGAAUGAAAAGCAUUAUUAUCAUGAACAAAUGCAUCAAUUAUUUGGUGCAGAGUGAUGUAAGAUCUUAUUGUAUUUUUAUAUUAUAUAAAAUUUUCUUAGAUUAAUAGCGGUCAUACAUCACAAGUAGAAUUAGUCUCUGAUCCAAUAGAUUAAAAGACAUUUGUCUCUUACCCAAUAAAAAAAAUGCAUCAAGUAAUCAUACUUUAGUU